This 8714-nucleotide long non-coding RNA is filed under the name Zea mays. RNAcentral's name for it is "long non-coding RNA (ZMAY_LNC005822)". Lineage: Eukaryota; Viridiplantae; Streptophyta; Magnoliopsida; Poales; Poaceae. The record is from RNAcentral.
UGGAUUGGGCAUGUUCGUUGCGAAAAACGAAGAAAUGGUUCCGGUGGCAAAAACUGAGUUUCUAUGCACCCGAUACCUAUUUUCGGAAUGAGUGACGUGCGGCAACGAAAUUGCGCAAAACCAACCCAAACAUGAGUUUUGGACCUAAAGUAGUGGAUUGGGCAUGUUCGUUGCGAAAAACGAAGAAAUGGUUCCGGUGGCAAAAACUCGUGCUUUGUAUGCACCCGAUACCCGUUUUCGGAAUGGGUGACGUGCGGCAACGAAAUUGCGCGAAACCACCCAAACAUGAGUUUUGGACCUAAAUUAGUGGAUUGGGCAUGUUCGUUGCGAAAAUCAAGAAAUGGUUCGGUGCAAAAACUCGUGCUUUGUAUGCCCCUGAUACCCGUUUUCGGAAUGGGUGACGUGGCAACGAAAUUGUGCGAAACACCCAAACAUGAGUUUUGGACCUAAAGUAGUGGAUUGGGCAUGUUCGUGCGAAAAACGAAGAAAUGGUUCCGGUGGCAAAAACUCGUGCUUUGUAUGCACCCGAUACCCGUUUUCAGAAUGGGUGACGUGCGGCAACGAAAUUGGCGAAACACCCAAACAUGAGUUUUGGACCUAAAGUAGUGGAUUGGGCAUGUUCGUUGCGAAAAAUGAAGAAAUGGUUCAGGUGGCAAAAACUCGUGCUUUGUAUGCACCCGAUACCCGUUUUCGGAAUGGGUGACGUGAGGCAACGAAAUUGCGCGAAACAACCCAAACAUGAGUUUUGGACCUAAAGUAGUGGAUUGGGCAUGUUCGUUGCAAAAACAAAGAAAUGGUUCCGGUGGCAAAAACUCGUGCUUUGUAUGCACCCCGAUACCCGUUUUCGGAAUGGGUGACGUGCGGCAACGAAAUUGGCGAAACACCCAAACAUGAGUUUUGGACCUAAAGUAGUGGAUUGGGCAUGUUCGUUGGAAAAACGAAGAAAUGGUUCCGGUGGCAAAAACUCGUGCUUUGUAUGCACCCGAUACCCGUUUUCGGAAUGGGUGACGUGCGGCAACGAAAUUGCGCGAAACCACCCAAACAUGAGUUUUGGACCUAAAGUAGUGGAGUGGGCAUGUUCGUUGCGAAAAACGAAGAAAUGGUUCCGGUGGCAAAAACUCGUGCUUUGUAUGCACCCGAUACCCGUUUUCGGAAUGGGUGACGUGCGGCAACGAAAUUGCGUGAAACACCCCAAACAUGAGUUUUGGACCUAAAGUAGUGGAUUGGGCAUGUUCGUUGCGAAAAACGAAGAAAUGGUUCCGGUGGCAAAAACUCGUGUUUGUAUGCACCCGAUACCCGUUUUCGGAAUGGGUGACGUGCGGCAACGAAAUUGCGCAAACAACCCAAACAUGAGUUUUGGACCUAAAGUAGUGGAUUGGGCAUGUUCGUUGCGAAAAACGAAGAAAUGGUUCCGGUGGCAAAAACUUGUGCUUUGUAUGCACCCUGAUACCCGUUUUCGGAAUGGGUGACGUGCGGCAACGAAAUUGCGCGAAACCACCCAAACAUGAGUUUUGGACCUAAAGUAGUGGAUUGGGCAUGUUCGUUGCGAAAAACAAGAAAUGGUUCGGUGAAAAACUCGUGCUUUGUAUGCACCCUGAUACCCGUUUUCGGAAUGGGUGACGUCGGCAACGAAAUUGCGCGAAACCACCCAAACAUGAGUUUUGGACCUAAAGUAGUGGAUUGGGCAUGUUCGUUGCGAAAAACGAAGAAAUGGUUCCGGUGGCAAAAACUCGUGCUUUGUAUGCACCCGAUACCCGUUUUCGGAAUGGGUGACGUGCGGCAACGAAAUUGCGCGAAACACCCAAACAUGAGUUUUGGACCUAAAGUAGUGGAUUGGGCAUGUUCGUUGCGAAAAACGAAGAAAUGGUUCGGUGGCAAAAACUCGUGCUUUGUAUGCACCCCGAUACCCGUUUUCGGAAUGGGUGACGUGAGGCAACGAAAUUGCGCGAAACAACCCAAACAUGAGUUUUGGACCUAAAGUAGUGGAUUGGGCAUGUUCGUUGCAAAAACAAGAAAUGGUUCCGGUGGCAAAAACUCGUGCUUUGUAUGCACCCGAUACCCGUUUUCGGAAUGGGUGACGUGCGGCAAGAAAUUGGCGAAACACCCAAACAUGAGUUUUGGACCUAAAGUAGUGGAUUGGGCAUGUUCGUUGCGAAAAACGAAGAAAUGGUUCCGGUGGCAAAAACUCGGCUUUGUAUGCACACCGAUACCCUUUUCGGAAUGGGUGACGUGCGGCAACGAAAUUGCGCGAAACACCCAAACAUGAGUUUUGGACCUAAAGUAGUGGAUUGGGCAUGUUCGUUGCGAAAAACGAAGAAAUGGUUCCGGUGGCAAAAACUCGUGCUUUGUAUGCACCCGAUACCCUUUUCGGAAUGGGUGACGUGCGGCAACGAAAUUGCGCGAAACACCCAAACAUGAGUUUUGGACCUAAAGUAGUGGAUUGGGCAUGUUCGUUGCGAAAAACGAAGAAAUGGUUCCGGUGGCAAAAACUCGUGCUUUGUAUGCACCCGAUACCCGUUUUCGGAAUGGGUGACGUGCGGCAACGAAAUUGCGCAAAACAACCCAAACAUGAGUUUUGGACCUAAAGUAGUGGAUUGGGCAUGUUCGUUGCGAAAAACGAAGAAAUGGUUCCGGUGGCAAAAACUGUGCUUUGUAUGCACCCGAUACCCGUUUUCGGAAUGGGUGACGUGCGGCAACGAAAUUGCGCGAAACAACCCAAACAUGAGUUUUGGACCUAAAGUAGUGGAUUGGGCAUGUUCGUGCGAAAAACGAAGAAAUGGUUCGGUGGCAAAAACUCGUGCUUUGUAUGCGCCCUGAUACCCGUUUUCGGAAUGGGUGACGUGCGGCAACGAAAUUGUGCGAAACACCCAAACAUGAGUUUUGGACCUAAAGUAGUGGAUUGGGCAUGUUCGUUGCGAAAAACGAAGAAAUGGUUCCGGUGGCAAAAACUCGUGCUUUGUAUGCACCCCGAUACCCGUUUUCGGAAUGGGUGACGUGCGGCAACGAAAUUGGCGAAACACCCAAACAUGAGUUUUGGACCUAAAGUAGUGGAUUGGGCAUGUUCGUUGCGAAAAACGAAGAAAUGGUUCAGGUGGCAAAAACUCGUGCUUUGUAUGCACCCGAUACCCGUUUUCGGAAUGGGUGACGUGCGGCAACGAAAUUGCGCGAAAUCCACCCAAACAUGAGUUUUGGACCUAAAGUAGUGGAUUGGGCAUGUUCGUUGCGAAAAACGAAGAAAUGGUUCCGGUGGCAAAAACUCGUGCUUUGUAUGCACCCGAUACCCGUUUUCGGAAUGGGUGACGUGCGGCAACGAAAUUGCGCGAAACACCCAAACAUGAGUUUUGGACCUAAAGUAGUGGAUUGGGCAUGUUCGUUGCGAAAAACGAAGAAAUGGUUCGGUGGUAAAAACUCGUGCUUUGUAUGCACCCGAUACCCUUUUCGGAAGGGUGACGUGAGGCAACGAAAUUGCGCGAAACAACCCAAACAUGAGUUUUGGACCUAAAGUAGUGGAUUGGGCAUGUUCGUUGCGAAAAACGAAGAAAUGGUUCCGGUGGCAAAAACUCGUGCUUUGUAUGCACCCGAUACCCGUUUUCGGAAUGGGUGACGUGCGGCAACGAAAUUGCGCGAAACACCCAAACAUGAGUUUUGGACCUAAAGUAGUGGAUUGGGCAUGUUCGUUGCGAAAAACGAAGAAAUGGUUCCGGUGGCAAAAACUCGUGCUUUGUAUGCACCCGAUACCCGUUUUCGGAAUGGGUGACGUGCGGCAACGAAAUUGCGCGAAACACCCAAACAUGAGUUUUGGACCUAAAGUAGUGGAUUGGGCAUGUUCGUUGCGAAAAACGAAGAAAUGGUUCCGGUGGCAAAAACUCGUGCUUUGUAUGCACCCGAUACCCGUUUUCGGAAUGGGUGACGUGCGGCAACGAAAUUGCGCGAAACAACCCAAACAUGAGUUUUGGACCUAAAGUAGUGGAUUGGGCAUGUUCGUUGCGAAAAACGAAGAAAUGGUUCCGGUGGCAAAAACUCGUGCUUUGUAUGCACCCGAUACCCGUUUUCGGAAUGGGUGACGUGCGGCAACGAAAUUGCGCGAAACAACCCAAACAUGAGUUUUGGACCUAAAGUAGUGGAUUGGGCAUGUUCGUUGCGAAAAACGAAGAAAUGGUUCCGGUGGCAAAAACUCGUGCUUUGUAUGCACCCGAUACCCGUUUUCGGAAUGGGUGACGUGCGGCAACGAAAUUGCGCGAAACACCCAAACAUGAGUUUUGGACCUAAAGUAGUGGAUUGGGCAUGUUCGUUGCGAAAAACGAAGAAAUGGUUCCGGUGGCAAAAACUCGUGCUUUGUAUGCACCCGAUACCCGUUUUCGGAAUGGGUGACGUGCGGCAACGAAAUUGCGCGAAACAACCCAAACAUGAGUUUUGGACCUAAAGUAGUGGAUUGGGCAUGUUCGUUGCGAAAAACGAAGAAAUGGUUCCGGUGGCAAAAACUCGUGCUUUGUAUGCACCCGAUACCCGUUUUCGGAAUGGGUGACGUGCGGCAACGAAAUUGCGCGAAACAACCCAAACAUGAGUUUUGGACCUAAAGUAGUGGAUUGGGCAUGUUCGUUGCGAAAAACGAAGAAAUGGUUCCGGUGGCAAAAACUCGUGCUUUGUAUGCACCCGAUACCCGUUUUCGGAAUGGGUGACGUGCGGCAACGAAAUUGCGCGAAACAACCCAAACAUGAGUUUUGGACCUAAAGUAGUGGAUUGGGCAUGUUCGUUGCGAAAAACGAAGAAAUGGUUCCGGUGGCAAAAACUCGUGCUUUGUAUGCACCCGAUACCCGUUUUCGGAAUGGGUGACGUGCGGCAACGAAAUUGCGCGAAACAACCCAAACAUGAGUUUUGGACCUAAAGUAGUGGAUUGGGCAUGUUCGUUGCGAAAAACGAAGAAAUGGUUCCGGUGGCAAAAACUCGUGCUUUGUAUGCACCCGAUACCCGUUUUCGGAAUGGGUGACGUGCGGCAACGAAAUUGCGCGAAACAACCCAAACAUGAGUUUUGGACCUAAAGUAGUGGAUUGGGCAUGUUCGUUGCGAAAAACGAAGAAAUGGUUCCGGUGGCAAAAACUCGUGCUUUGUAUGCACCCGAUACCCGUUUUCGGAAUGGGUGACGUGCGGCAACGAAAUUGCGCGAAACAACCCAAACAUGAGUUUUGGACCUAAAGUAGUGGAUUGGGCAUGUUCGUUGCGAAAAACGAAGAAAUGGUUCCGGUGGCAAAAACUCGUGCUUUGUAUGCACCCGAUACCCGUUUUCGGAAUGGGUGACGUGCGGCAACGAAAUUGCGCGAAACAACCCAAACAUGAGUUUUGGACCUAAAGUAGUGGAUUGGGCAUGUUCGUUGCGAAAAACGAAGAAAUGGUUCCGGUGGCAAAAACUCGUGCUUUGUAUGCACCCGAUACCCGUUUUCGGAAUGGGUGACGUGCGGCAACGAAAUUGCGCGAAACAACCCAAACAUGAGUUUUGGACCUAAAGUAGUGGAUUGGGCAUGUUCGUUGCGAAAAACGAAGAAAUGGUUCCGGUGGCAAAAACUCGUGCUUUGUAUGCACCCGAUACCCGUUUUCGGAAUGGGUGACGUGCGGCAACGAAAUUGCGCGAAACACCCAAACAUGAGUUUUGGACCUAAAGUAGUGGAUUGGGCAUGUUCGUUGCGAAAAACGAAGAAAUGGUUCCGGUGGCAAAAACUCGUGCUUUGUAUGCACCCGAUACCCGUUUUCGGAAUGGGUGACGUGCGGCAACGAAAUUGCGCGAAACACCCAAACAUGAGUUUUGGACCUAAAGUAGUGGAUUGGGCAUGUUCGUUGCGAAAAACGAAGAAAUGGUUCCGGUGGCAAAAACUCGUGCUUUGUAUGCACCCGAUACCCGUUUUCGGAAUGGGUGACGUGCGGCAACGAAAUUGCGCGAAACAACCCAAACAUGAGUUUUGGACCUAAAGUAGUGGAUUGGGCAUGUUCGUUGCGAAAAACGAAGAAAUGGUUCCGGUGGCAAAAACUCGUGCUUUGUAUGCACCCGAUACCCGUUUUCGGAAUGGGUGACGUGCGGCAACGAAAUUGCGCGAAACAACCCAAACAUGAGUUUUGGACCUAAAGUAGUGGAUUGGGCAUGUUCGUUGCGAAAAACGAAGAAAUGGUUCCGGUGGCAAAAACUCGUGCUUUGUAUGCACCCGAUACCCGUUUUCGGAAUGGGUGACGUGCGGCAACGAAAUUGCGCGAAACAACCCAAACAUGAGUUUUGGACCUAAAGUAGUGGAUUGGGCAUGUUCGUUGCGAAAAACGAAGAAAUGGUUCCGGUGGCAAAAACUCGUGCUUUGUAUGCACCCGAUACCCGUUUUCGGAAUGGGUGACGUGCGGCAACGAAAUUGCGCGAAACAACCCAAACAUGAGUUUUGGACCUAAAGUAGUGGAUUGGGCAUGUUCGUUGCGAAAAACGAAGAAAUGGUUCCGGUGGCAAAAACUCGUGCUUUGUAUGCACCCGAUACCCGUUUUCGGAAUGGGUGACGUGCGGCAACGAAAUUGCGCGAAACAACCCAAACAUGAGUUUUGGACCUAAAGUAGUGGAUUGGGCAUGUUCGUUGCGAAAAACGAAGAAAUGGUUCCGGUGGCAAAAACUCGUGCUUUGUAUGCACCCGAUACCCGUUUUCGGAAUGGGUGACGUGCGGCAACGAAAUUGCGCGAAACAACCCAAACAUGAGUUUUGGACCUAAAGUAGUGGAUUGGGCAUGUUCGUUGCGAAAAACGAAGAAAUGGUUCCGGUGGCAAAAACUCGUGCUUUGUAUGCACCCGAUACCCGUUUUCGGAAUGGGUGACGUGCGGCAACGAAAUUGCGCGAAACAACCCAAACAUGAGUUUUGGACCUAAAGUAGUGGAUUGGGCAUGUUCGUUGCGAAAAACGAAGAAAUGGUUCCGGUGGCAAAAACUCGUGCUUUGUAUGCACCCGAUACCCGUUUUCGGAAUGGGUGACGUGCGGCAACGAAAUUGCGCGAAAUCAACCCAAACAUGAGUUUUGGACCUAAAGUAGUGGAUUGGGCAUGUUCGUUGCGAAAAACGAAGAAAUGGUUCCGGUGGCAAAAACUCGUGCUUUGUAUGCACCCGAUACCCGUUUUCGGAAUGGGUGACGUGCGGCAACGAAAUUGCGCGAAAUCAACCCAAACAUGAGUUUUGGACCUAAAGUAGUGGAUUGGGCAUGUUCGUUGCGAAAAACGAAGAAAUGGUUCCGGUGGCAAAAACUCGUGCUUUGUAUGCACCCGAUACCCGUUUUCGGAAUGGGUGACGUGCGGCAACGAAAUUGCGCGAAAUCAACCCAAACAUGAGUUUUGGACCUAAAGUAGUGGAUUGGGCAUGUUCGUUGCGAAAAACGAAGAAAUGGUUCCGGUGGCAAAAACUCGUGCUUUGUAUGCACCCGAUACCCGUUUUCGGAAUGGGUGACGUGCGGCAACGAAAUUGCGCGAAACAACCCAAACAUGAGUUUUGGACCUAAAGUAGUGGAUUGGGCAUGUUCGUUGCGAAAAACGAAGAAAUGGUUCCGGUGGCAAAAACUCGUGCUUUGUAUGCACCCGAUACCCGUUUUCGGAAUGGGUGACGUGCGGCAACGAAAUUGCGCGAAACAACCCAAACAUGAGUUUUGGACCUAAAGUAGUGGAUUGGGCAUGUUCGUUGCGAAAAACGAAGAAAUGGUUCCGGUGGCAAAAACUCGUGCUUUGUAUGCACCCGAUACCCGUUUUCGGAAUGGGUGACGUGCGGCAACGAAAUUGCGCGAAAUCAACCCAAACAUGAGUUUUGGACCUAAAGUAGUGGAUUGGGCAUGUUCGUUGCGAAAAACGAAGAAAUGGUUCCGGUGGCAAAAACUCGUGCUUUGUAUGCACCCCGAUACCCGUUUUCGGAAUGGGUGACGUGCGGCAACGAAAUUGCGCGAAAACAACCCAAACAUGAGUUUUGGACCUAAAGUAGUGGAUUGGGCAUGUUCGUUGCGAAAAACGAAGAAAUGGUUCCGGUGGCAAAAACUCGUGCUUUGUAUGCACCCGAUACCCGUUUUCGGAAUGGGUGACGUGCGGCAACGAAAUUGCGCGAAACAACCCAAACAUGAGUUUUGGACCUAAAGUAGUGGAUUGGGCAUGUUCGUUGCGAAAAACGAAGAAAUGGUUCCGGUGGCAAAAACUCGUGCUUUGUAUGCACCCGAUACCCGUUUUCGGAAUGGGUGACGUGCGGCAACGAAAUUGCGCGAAACAACCCAAACAUGAGUUUUGGACCUAAAGUAGUGGAUUGGGCAUGUUCGUUGCGAAAAACGAAGAAAUGGUUCCGGUGGCAAAAACUCGUGCUUUGUAUGCACCCGAUACCCGUUUUCGGAAUGGGUGACGUGCGGCAACGAAAUUGCGCGAAAUCAACCCAAACAUGAGUUUUGGACCUAAAGUAGUGGAUUGGGCAUGUUCGUUGCGAAAAACGAAGAAAUGGUUCCGGUGGCAAAAACUCGUGCUUUGUAUGCACCCGAUACCCGUUUUCGGAAUGGGUGACGUGCGGCAACGAAAUUGCGCGAAAGCAACCCAAACAUGAGUUUUGGACCUAAAGUAGUGGAGUGGGCAUGUUCGUUGCGAAAAACGAAGAAAUGGUUCCGGUGGCAAAAACUCGUGCUUUGUAUGCACCCGAUACCCGUUUUCGGAAUGGGUGACGUGCGGCAACGAAAUUGCGCGAAA